RNAcentral lists this ribosomal RNA (301 nucleotides) under uncultured bacterium. RNAcentral's name for it is "partial 16S ribosomal RNA". It matches the Rfam family "Bacterial small subunit ribosomal RNA", at positions 509 to 809 of the family's 1533-position model. The record is from RNAcentral.
CAGCCGCCGCGGGAAUACGGAGGGCGCGAGCGUUACCCGGAUUUACUGGGCGUAAAGGGCGUGUAGGCGGCCUGGGGCGUCCCAUGUGAAAGGCCACGGCUCAACCGUGGAGGAGCGUGGGAUACGCUCAGGCUAGAGGGUGGGAGAGGGUGGUGGAAUUCCCGGAGUAGCGGUGAAAUGCGCAGAUACCGGGAGGAACGCCGAUGGCGAAGGCAGCCACCUGGUCCACUUCUGACGCUCAUGCACGAAAGCGUGGGGAGCAAACAGGAUUAGAUACCCCUGUAGUCCCUGUCUCUUAUAA